This 496-nucleotide ribosomal RNA is filed under the name uncultured bacterium. Its description in RNAcentral is "bacterial SSU rRNA". It matches the Rfam family "Bacterial small subunit ribosomal RNA", at positions 8 to 523 of the family's 1533-position model. The record is from RNAcentral.
AGAGUUUGAUCCUGGCUCAGGACGAACGCUGGCGGCGUGCCUAACACAUGCAAGUCAAAGGGAAGUAACUUCGGUUAUGAGUACUUGGCGCAAGGGUGAGUAAUGUAUAGGUAAUUUGCCUUUUGGACUGAAAUAACUCCGAGAAAUCGGAGACAAUGUCAGAUGAUGCAGCGGAACCGCAUGGUUAUGUUGUUAAAGAUUUAUCGCCAAAAGAUGAGCCUAUAUCCCAUCAGGUAGUUGGUAGGGUAAAAGCCUACCAAGCCUACGACGGGUAGCUGGUCUGAGAGGAUGAUCAGCCACAUUGGAACUGAGACACGGUCCAGACUCCUACGGGAGGCAGCAGUGAGGAAUAUUGCGCAAUGGGGGAAACCCUGACGCAGCCACGCCGCGUGUGUGAUGAAGGCCCUCGGGUCGUAAAGCACUGUCGGGAGGGACGAAGUUCUGACGGUACCUCCCAAGAAAGCACCGGCUAACCCUGUGCCAGCAGCCGCGGUAA